RNAcentral lists this ribosomal RNA (492 nucleotides) under uncultured bacterium. RNAcentral describes it as "partial 16S ribosomal RNA". It matches the Rfam family "Bacterial small subunit ribosomal RNA", at positions 30 to 507 of the family's 1533-position model. The record is from RNAcentral.
AUUGAACGCUGGCUGCAUGCUUUACACAUGCAAGUCGAACGGUAACAGGCCUUCGGGUGCUGACGAGUGGCGAACGGGUGAGUAAUGCAUCGGAACGUACCCAGAGGUGGGGGAUAACGCAGCGAAAGCUGUGCUAAUACCGCAUGUGAUCUGAGGAUGAAAGCGGGGGACCGAGCAGCAAUGUUUGGCCUCGCGCCUUUGGAGCGGCCGAUGUCGGAUUAGCUAGUUGGUGGGGUAAAGGCCUACCAAGGCGACGAUCCGUAGCUGGUCUGAGAGGACGACCAGCCACACUGGGACUGAGACACGGCCCAGACUCCUACGGGAGGCAGCAGUGGGGAAUUUUGGACAAUGGGCGCAAGCCUGAUCCAGCAAUGCCGCGUGCGGGAAGAAGGCCUUCGGGUUGUAAACCGCUUUUGGCAGGAACGAAACGGUGUCCGCUAAUACCGGGCGCUAAUGACGGUACCUGCAGAAUAAGCACCGGCUAACUACGUG